This 589-nucleotide ribosomal RNA is filed under the name uncultured bacterium. RNAcentral describes it as "bacterial SSU rRNA". It matches the Rfam family "Bacterial small subunit ribosomal RNA", at positions 338 to 944 of the family's 1533-position model. The record is from RNAcentral.
CCUACGGGAGGCAGCAGUGGGGAAUAUUGGACAAUGGGCGAAAGCCUGAUCCAGCAAUGCCGCGUGAGUGAUGAAGGCCUUAGGGUUGUAAAGCUCUUUUACCAGGGAUGAUAAUGACAGUACCUGGAGAAUAAGCUCCGGCUAACUCCGUGCCAGCAGCCGCGGUAAUACGGAGGGAGCUAGCGUUGUUCGGAAUUACUGGGCGUAAAGCGUGCGUAGGCGGUGAUUCAAGUCAGAGGUGAAAGCCUGGAGCUCAACUCCAGAACGGCCUUUGAAACUAGAUCGCUAGAAUUAUGGAGAGGUAAGUGGAAUUCCGAGUGUAGAGGUGAAAUUCGUAGAUAUUCGGAAGAACACCAGUGGCGAAGGCGACUUACUGGACAUAUAUUGACGCUGAGGUACGAAAGCGUGGGGAGCAAACAGGAUUAGAUACCCUGUAGUCCACGCCGUAAACGAUGAUAACCUAGCUGUUCGGGCUCUCAGAGCUUGAGUGGCGCAGCUAACGCAUUAAGUUAUCCGCCUGGGGAGUACGGUGCAAGNUUAAAACCUUAAAGGAAUUGACGGNNGAGAGNGCGAGACGACACGAGGAGAG